AACGAGCGAAAGCUUUGCUAAUACCGCAUACGAUCUACGGAUGAAAGCAGGGGACCGCAAGGCCUUGCGCUCAUGGAGCGGCCGAUGGCAGAUUAGGUAGUUGGUGGGAUAAAAGCUUACCAAGCCGACGAUCUGUAGCUGGUCUGAGAGGACGACCAGCCACACUGGGACUGAGACACGGCCCAGACUCCUACGGGAGGCAGCAGUGGGGAAUAUUGGGCAAUGGGCGCAAGCCUGACCCAGCAACGCCGCGUGAAGGAAGAAGGCUUUCGGGUUGUAAACUUCUUUUGUCAGGGACGAAGCAAG
Molecule: ribosomal RNA, 306 nt
Filed under: uncultured bacterium
Lineage: Bacteria
Description: bacterial SSU rRNA
Rfam family: Bacterial small subunit ribosomal RNA
Source: RNAcentral